RNAcentral lists this long non-coding RNA (202 nucleotides) under Citrus sinensis (sweet orange). RNAcentral's name for it is "long non-coding RNA (CSIN_LNC001739)". Lineage: Eukaryota; Viridiplantae; Streptophyta; Magnoliopsida; Sapindales; Rutaceae. The record is from RNAcentral.
AUAGAAGAUAGUCAGAGGCGUCGGAAGUUUUUACGGCGUGAACCCUCUGACGCUCAAGUCAGUUUCUGGGCCUUUGCCAAAAAACUUGUGCCACCACUCAUAUGGCUUAAUAAACAUGGCCUUAAAAACCAAAAGCUUUUUGAGUCCUUUGCAGAAAAAUGAAAUAGAGUGUAAAAGAAAGGAUUUUCCAUGAGAGGAAAAG